UACGGAGGAUGCGAGCGUUAUCCGGAAUGAUUGGGCGUAAAGGGUGCGCAGGCGGCCGGGCAAGUCCGCAGUAAAAACUGGAGGCUCAACCUUCAGGGGCUGCGGAAACUGUCCGGCUGGAGAGCAGGAGAGGACGGUGGAACUCCAUGUGUAGCGGUAAAAUGCGUAGAGAUAUGGAAGAACACCAGUGGCGAAGGCGGCCGCCUGGACUGAAACUGACGCUCAGGCACGAAAGCGUGGGGAGCAAAUAGG
This 252-nucleotide ribosomal RNA is filed under the name uncultured bacterium. Its description in RNAcentral is "partial 16S ribosomal RNA". It matches the Rfam family "Bacterial small subunit ribosomal RNA", at positions 524 to 776 of the family's 1533-position model. The record is from RNAcentral.